Molecule: ribosomal RNA, 1038 nt
Filed under: Triticum aestivum (bread wheat)
Lineage: Eukaryota; Viridiplantae; Streptophyta; Magnoliopsida; Poales; Poaceae
Description: partial small subunit ribosomal RNA
Source: RNAcentral
AUGAGUCAAAUGUUGAGCAUGAUGAAGCCCCUGCCUCACGACGCUGAAUACCCAUCUGAGUUCUUUGUUGAAGACCUAGAGUACCUGCCUCGCACCAUUUACCACAUCAUCAGGAAGACUCUAUGGCCUAUCAAAGGACACUCAUCUGCAGCGAAGCUUGAAGGAGCAAUGAAGACUUUGGUUUUCUAUAUCUUCAAUGGCAUCAGCUUCAAUGCUCAAGACUUCUUCAUCAGGCAGUUGGCUGCGUCUGGCUCCAACAUCUUUGGGUUGAAAUUCUAUGCUCCAUGGGUCAUGCGUCUGAUCAAGCGUCACUCAGCCUUCAACUAUCAGCCGUCUGCGUGCAAUCAUCUUAUAUUCUUGCCCGAGGUUGAUCUGUCAGUUGAAGCCAUUUACCCAGAGCCUGCUAAGGAUCCCAUUUAUCUUCACAAUGCUGAUCACCAAAGCUUCACCCAGCCCAUUGAAGGAAUUCCAGCAGUGUCUCGUGUUUAUCCCCUUGCUGGAAACACACGUGCCCCUCGUGCUCAAACUGAUGCCACUGGUAGCACCAUUGCGCAAAGGCCUCAAAGACGAUCUCGUGUCCUCAAUGACCGAGAGCUUGUCGUCACGCUGCAUCAGAAACAGGACAAACAUCACGACUGGCUUAAGCGUCAGAUGCAAAACCUCUUGGUGGAUGUCAACCGCAAUCGCAAUCUUGCCACCAAGAAUGCCUUUGUCACUCAUGAAACCUGUCGGAGGUCGUGGAAGAGUUUGCCCCUACUGAGUGUUGAAGCUAAUCUGCAUGACGAUGGCUUCACCGAACGCUUCAAGUUUGACUCAACUCCUCCCAGAAAUGCUCACUUGCGUCGGACUCCCUCACUUGAAGACUCUGAAUACUCGUCCUCAGCUGCAACCGUAAAUGCCAGAGACAUUGAUGACCAAGAUGAUGCAACUUCACCUCCUCCAACUUCAGCGCGUGACGACACUGCACCAAGUUCCUCUCCACCACCGGAUCUCACCAACGACCCUGCUGCCUCGCCUGCACCUCAUGGGAUCGAGUAG